CACUCGUUUUUUUGAGUUUAGUUAGCUGUCCACGCAUGCAAUGAAUGUUAAUUUACACAAACACUUCAUUGUUUAUUUAAUGGAAGAACUUUUAACUGUACCAAAGGAAUGCAAUAGCAAGAACCUCUUCUAUUUAUUCCACUUCUUUGGCUGAAAGUCAUCUGAGGCCAGUCUUCUGUGGUGAAUGGCAAACUCCAACCAGGCAGUUUGGAGGCUUCAGUGAGUCACUACCAGAAGGUUACGAGAUGGACCGGGGGCUAGCUGGUUAGCGUGCUAACUUCAGUAGAAGAAAAUACGUGAUAGAGACAAGAGGAAUGAAGUUUGAUGGUGAACUCACAAUGUUUCCUCUAGGACUGGUGUGAAGAAGAAGACGAUGAUGAGGUGUGAGGCCUGAUGCGGAGCCAAUGAGUUGCAGAUGCUGCAAAUGUGAUGUUUCCCUCCUCCAUAUCUCCUGCAGGAUCUCUGAGAGGGGAAAUAUGCUUUGCAAAUCAGAGGAAUGGUGCUCACUGGCGCAGAGUGACCUGUGGUCUUCUUUCAUACAUCAUAAAAGCCUGCAAGGUGUCUUCCCCAGUCAGAUUGGGCUUUUCAUCUUCUAUCGCACUUUCUGUAGUGCCUUUGUCGUUUUCCUCGCUCUUCUUGUCCCCAAGGAGACCUUUUUUUUUUUUUUUAAAUAGCAGAGUUGAGCUGGAGGGGGUUUUCCAUAUUAUGAAUUGUAUGCUGGUUCCAUUGCUGACUAUUUCAAUGCUUUUGAUUUACAGCAGAAACUUGUUGUUUGUUCUAGUUAUCUAAACAUGACAUUCAAUUAAUUGCAUAUUAAUUAAGUUAUAUUGUAAAAGGGAAUCUUGUGUCUGUGGUUAAUGUACUGUAGGACAAUAUGAACUGGAAUAGCAUUUGGUAAUCCUAUUGAACAUGGAAUAGGUUAUUUGUAUUGUCUUAAGAGAUUCUGGCAUCCUAAAAAACCCUGUCAGCUAGAAAUGAUAUUUAUAUACAACUCAAUUGCAACAGCAAAUACAUUUUAAAUAAAACAUAAUCACAACCAGAUUACAUUUUCUCUUAAUGUAAUAAGGAUAUGUUGUUAGCUUAUGUAUUUGGAA
Long non-coding RNA from Seriola aureovittata, 1094 nucleotides. RefSeq lists it as uncharacterized. NCBI's taxonomy places the organism in Eukaryota, Metazoa, Chordata, Actinopteri, Carangiformes, Carangidae. The transcript has 4 exons. The record is from RefSeq and is a predicted model, not a curated record.